CUGGUUGAUCCUGCCAGUAGUCAUAUGCRUGUCUCAAAGAUUAAGCCAUGCAUGUCUAAGUAUAAGCAAUUUAUACAGUGAAACUGCGAAUGGCUCAUUAAAUCAGUUAUCGUUUAUUUGAUAGUACCUUACUACUUGGAUAACCGUGGUAAUUCUAGAGCUAAUACAUGCUUAAAAUUCCGACUGUUUGGAAGGGAUGUAUUUAUUAGAUAAAAAAUCAAUGUCUUCGGACUCUUUGAUGAUUCAUAAUAACUUUUCGAAUCGCAUGGCCUUGUGCUGGCGAUGGUUCAUUCAAAUUUCUGCCCUAUCAACUUUCGAUGGUAGGAUAGUGGCCUACCAUGGUUUCAACGGGUAACGGGGAAUAAGGGUUCGAUUCCGGAGAGGGAGCCUGAGAAACGGCUACCACAUCCAAGGAAGGCAGCAGGCGCGCAAAUUACCCAAUCCCGACACGGGGAGGUAGUGACAAUAAAUAACGAUACAGGGCCCUUUCGGGUCUUGUAAUUGGAAUGAGUACAAUGUAAAUACCUUAACGAGGAACAAUUGGAGGGCAAGUCUGGU
RNAcentral lists this ribosomal RNA (558 nucleotides) under uncultured eukaryote. RNAcentral describes it as "SSU rRNA". It matches the Rfam family "Eukaryotic small subunit ribosomal RNA", at positions 4 to 567 of the family's 1831-position model. The record is from RNAcentral.